GGCCUUGUAGCUCAGUUGGUAGAGCAGCGGACUGAAAAUCCGCGUGUCGGCGGUUCGAAUCCGCCCGAGGCCACCA
Molecule: transfer RNA, 76 nt
Filed under: Planctomycetota bacterium
Lineage: Bacteria; Pseudomonadati; Planctomycetota
Description: Planctomycetes bacterium tRNA-Phe
Rfam family: tRNA
About the family: Transfer RNA (tRNA) molecules are approximately 80 nucleotides in length. Their secondary structure includes four short double-helical elements and three loops (D, anti-codon, and T loops).
Source: RNAcentral